This 780-nucleotide long non-coding RNA is filed under the name Erythranthe guttata (spotted monkey flower). RNAcentral's name for it is "long non-coding RNA (EGUT_LNC002836)". The record is from RNAcentral. Lineage: Eukaryota; Viridiplantae; Streptophyta; Magnoliopsida; Lamiales; Phrymaceae.
CAGCUCGAGGGGGAUCACCACGAAAAGGAUUCCGUCGCACACGUGGUGGUGUAGCUGCACGCACAAUCACGGUUCCUUUUCAAUAUUAAAUGCGUAUAUUAUAUUAUAUGGAUGCGGUAUUCGAAGUGUUUUGCUUUAUCCACAUCAAUAUUGGAAAUUCUCGAGUUCCGAUUUUUUAUUUUUUUUAUUUUUUUUCGUGUGCUGGAUUUGUGAUUGAUUAUUUUUUUUUUUUCGGGCCAUAAAAACUUGGGAUGUUGAAAAAUGGAUGUAAAUGUGAUGGACUGUAAUCCAGUUUUUUCGUUUGGCAUUUCGAUUGCGACAAAAGAAUGCUUCAAUUUGCAAUGCAGAAUCACAAACAUCGAUUAGAUAUAGCACUGUUCUUUUGGUUCAGCCCUUAAUUCACACAGGCAUUUAAACAAACACCUAAAAGGCACUCCAAAAACUUAAGACUGAUAACUUGAUAUUACAGCACUACCUAAUUUUGAAAAUCAAGCCCUAAGCUUUGAAAGAAAUUCCGCCAUUAAUUCCAGUCUAAAUGUGCAACUUGCUUUCUUAUACCAUGAUCCAAAAAAAAAUUCAUAAGCUGGUAAAAUAAUUAAAAGUUAAACAUACCUUCCCAGCAACGAAAUCCACCUCGCAUUUCUCAUCGUCCUGCAAAAUUCUUGGAGGAAUUCGGGUCAGGUAGUAGCCGUUUCUUCUCACAUUGCAUUUUAACCACAAAUUGCAAAUAUUUCGUGAAUUUUCUAUUACCUUUUUCUCCUGGAGUUGAGGAAGAAUUUU